Molecule: ribosomal RNA, 449 nt
Filed under: uncultured bacterium
Lineage: Bacteria
Description: bacterial SSU rRNA
Rfam family: Bacterial small subunit ribosomal RNA
Source: RNAcentral
UGAGGAAUCUUGCGCAAUGGGGGAAACCCUGACGCAGCGACGCCGCGUGCGGGAAGAAGGCCUUCGGGUCGUAAACCGCUUUUCUGUGGGACGAGGAAGGACGGUACCACAGGAAUAAGUCCCGGCUAACUACGUGCCAGCAGCCGCGGUAAAACGUAGGGGGCGAGCGUUAUCCGGAAUCACUGGGCGUAAAGGGCGUCUAGGCGGCACAUUAAGUCUUGCGUGAAAUCUCCUGGCUCAACUAGGAGAGUGCGUGAGAAACUGGUGAGCUAGAGACGUGGAGGGGUGCACGGAAUUCCCGGUGGAGUGGUGGAAUGCGUUGAGAUCGGGGAGGAACACCAGAAGCGAAGGCGGUGCACUGGCCACGGACUGACGCUGAAGCGCGACAGCGUGGGGAGCGAACGGGAUUAGAUACCCUCGUAGUCCCUGAGCGGGCUGGCAAGGCGCAU